RNA transcript from Oreochromis niloticus (Nile tilapia), 2154 nucleotides. RefSeq lists it as uncharacterized. NCBI's taxonomy places the organism in Eukaryota, Metazoa, Chordata, Actinopteri, Cichliformes, Cichlidae. The record is from RefSeq and is a predicted model, not a curated record. The transcript is spliced from 9 exons.
CCUGUUUUGCUUCCUUCUUGCUCGUUAACUCACUCUGUUCACCUGUGCCUUACUUUCCCUAGCUAUGUCUCUUUCCCUGAUUGUCUCAUGUGUGUUUAAGCCCUCAGUUUAGUUUAAUUUCUGUUUCUACUGUUGUUGUGGAUUUGCUGCUGCCAUUUAAAAAAAGGUCAAAAGGGAAGAGAUCCUGUGUAAUCCCCUCUUCGUGGUUGGUUCACACAGACACCAGUGCAGGGGUCCAAAUCAUGCCUCCAGACCCACAGGGACAAAUAUUCAGCACAGACGUCAAAUUACCAUCUGGAAGUGACAUAAGACAACUCGGGCUGCUGCCCAUGUUGUGAAACAUAAGCAUGUCUUUUGUCCUGUUUUCCUUGUCUCACCCCAGCCGAUCGCAGCAGAAAAAGUGAGCAACAACAAAACUAAAACACAAAUGAAAACAAGCAACAACAGCAAAUAAGAAGCAGCAUUCUGCCACAAAGCUUCUCGCCUGUGGGAAUCAGUCUUUCCUAGUUGCUGCUAUCUUGUGGCUGUACUCUGUAUGACUAUGAUUCCACUGGUCUCUGUAGCAUGAUGUUGAUCAUGGAUCUAAUAAAGGUGGAAGCCCCUCCCCCCAACAAAAGAAAGGAUGAAAGCACAGAACUAAGAGGCUGUGAGGCAGGGAGCCUCUUAUUAACAGAUCUGAUAUACUUCAUCUCAGCUUGCCUUUCUUUAAACAUGUUUGCUGACAGAUGAAUGACGGCAGGACUGUGAUAGAGGUGAAAGCAUGAAUGACCACAGUGAGCAAAGAAGGAACUUUCAGUCCAAAUCCUUUCAAGAGGGUACAGGACUCCACCUACUUCCACGUAGACUGAGGACUUCUACAGGCACGUGGCUUUCAUCCAGAGACUCUGAGCGUUUGGGCCUGCAAGUGCAGGGGUACUGCUGCCCCCUCCUGCAGAGGCCCAGCAGUGGAAGGGUGAUCCCACAGAGCAGAGGGGGAGGAAAUGAGAAACUGUUCAGCAGCAUCAGGGUGAGGCUGGAAAGCAGAGCAAAGCCAGCAUCAAGGUCCAAAACUGGGAGCAGACCUGAGAUGACCUCACAAAGUGGAGCUCCCACUGUGAGCCAAAGCAAAGAUCCAGUCGAUGAAAGAACAGAGACCUCGAGAACCCCCUGCGACAGCGAGAGGCCGGCUCGACACACGCAUCCUGCUUCCACAAAGGUUUCAGAGCUCCAUCUAUAUCUGCCUUCAUCACUGUGUGAAGAUGAGAAGCAGGACAGAGACGGACGGGACAUAAGGCAUUUAUCAGAGGAGACCAGCGCUGAAGAAGAUGAGGUCAAACUAACCAUCUCACACACAUCGCACACCAGUGAAGACGAGCCUAAUCCAGGACUCAGCAAUCCACAGCACAACACAGACACCAACUGAUCACAGGGGAUAACCUUCGGAGCCAGUUUAACUCAAAAGAAUAACCACAUGACCAGCACACACAAACACACAGGCUCCCUAAUGAGGUGGUGUAGUUUCUUCUCAGAAUAUAGCAUCAACGCUCUGCUCUGAGAGCCGGAUGACCACUGAUGGACGACGGUGUAUAUGCACCGCAGGGACACUUGAGAAAAGGUCAAAUUAAUGAGAUCUCUGUGGACAACAUCCCAGUGCAAUACAUAUCACUGUUAGUGGAGCAGAUUUCAAAAUAAAACCUGGAUAAAUGACAGCUGUAGUGACGAGAUGAGGCAAACGAGAAAAACGUAGAAUGUGGAAAACGGAGAGCGCGAGAAUGAAAAGAACAGGACACUGCUAACAAACCACGACCAAAGACUUGAGUUUAAUAGAGCGAUAGAAACCUCAGAGUUCACUGAAGUCAUGUGAUGAGCUGAUCAAGCAGUUCCAGACUGCAAACAGUCACUUUGAAGGCCGUGUUAGUCAGGUGUGUUCACCUGUAACUACAGCUAUAUAGGUUUGUCAGUGAUUUUACAUUUUAUUUUGUUAUGCUCCACAGUCAGCUUUUCUUCCAUCCACACAGAUGUUGGACUUUUAUCAGUUUUAGGAUUCAUGAUUAUUCAGUUUACCUGAUUUACCUGAUUAUGUGUUUCGUGUUGUAAUAACUGAGAAGCCAUCAAUGAAUAGAAAGAAGAAUUUGUGGAUUAUUUUGUUUCAUUAAAGACAUUUGUUUCUUAGUA